This 474-nucleotide ribosomal RNA is filed under the name uncultured Streptococcus sp. Its description in RNAcentral is "bacterial SSU rRNA". It matches the Rfam family "Bacterial small subunit ribosomal RNA", at positions 902 to 1382 of the family's 1533-position model. Lineage: Bacteria; Bacillati; Bacillota; Bacilli; Lactobacillales; Streptococcaceae. The record is from RNAcentral.
CAAAGGAAUUGACGGGGCCGCACAAGCGGUGGAGCAUGUGGUUAAUUCGAAGCAACGCGAAGAACCUUACCAGGUCUUGACAUCCCGAUGCUAUUUCUAGGGAUAGAAAGUUACUUCGGUACAUCGGUGACAGGUGGUGCAUGGUUGUCGUCAGCUCGUGUCGUGAGAUGUUGGGUUAAGUCCCGCAACGAGCGCAACCCCUAUUGUUAGUUGCCAUCAUUCAGUUGGGCACUCUAGCGAGACUGCCGGUAAUAAACCGGAGGAAGUGGGAUGACGUCAAAUCAUCAUGCCCCUUAUGACCUGGGCUACACACGUGCUACAAUGGUUGGUACAACGAGUUGCGAGUCGGUGACGGCGAGCUAAUCUCUUAAAGCCAAUCUCAGUUCGGAUUGUAGGCUGCAACUCGCCUACAUGAAGUCGGAAUCGCUAGUAAUCGCGGAUCAGCACGCCGCGGUGAAUACGUUCCCGGGCCUU